UACGUAGGGUGCGAGCGUUAAUCGGAAUUACUGGGCGUAAAGCGUGCGCAGGCGGUUAUUUAAGACAGAUGUGAAAUCCCCGGGCUCAACCUGGGAACUGCGUUUGUGACUGGAUAGCUAGAGUACGGCAGAGGGGGGUAGAAUUCCACGUGUAGCAGUGAAAUGCGUAGAUAUGUGGAGGAAUACCGAUGGCGAAGGCAGCCCCCUGGGUCGAUACUGACGCUGAGGCGCGAAAGCGUGGGUAGCAAACAGG
Molecule: ribosomal RNA, 253 nt
Filed under: uncultured bacterium
Lineage: Bacteria
Description: partial 16S ribosomal RNA
Rfam family: Bacterial small subunit ribosomal RNA
Source: RNAcentral